GACGAACGCUGGCGGCGUGCUUAACACAUGCAAGUCGAACGGAAAGGCCCUGCUUUUGUGGGGUGCUCGAGUGGCGAACGGGUGAGUAACACGUGAGUAACCUGCCCUUGACUUUGGGAUAACUUCAGGAAACUGGGGCUAAUACCGGAUAGGAGCUCCUGCUGCAUGGUGGGGGUUGGAAAGUUUCGGCGGUUGGGGAUGGACUCGCGGCUUAUCAGCUUGUUGGUGGGGUAGUGGCUUACCAAGGCUUUGACGGGUAGCCGGCCUGCGAGGGGGAACGGCCACAUUGCGACUGAGAUACGGCCCAGAGUCCAACGGGAGGCAGCAGUGGGAAAUAUUGUACAAUGGGCGGAAGCCUGAUGCAGCAACGCCGCGUGCGGGAUGACGGCCAUCGGGUUGUAAACCGCAGUCGCCUGUGACGAAGCGUGAGUGACGGUAAUGGGUGAAGAAGCACCGGCUAACUACGUG
Molecule: ribosomal RNA, 468 nt
Filed under: uncultured bacterium
Lineage: Bacteria
Description: partial 16S ribosomal RNA
Rfam family: Bacterial small subunit ribosomal RNA
Source: RNAcentral